GAUGAAGAACGCAGCAAAAUGCGAUAAGUAAUGUGAAUUGCAGAAUUCAGUGAAUCAUCGAAUCUUAGAACGCACAUUGCGCCCGCCAGUAUUCUGGCGGGCAUGCCUGUUCGAGCGUCAUUUCAACCCUCAAGCACAGCUUGGUGUUGGGACUCGCGUUAAUUCGCGUUCCCCAAAUUGAUUGGCGGUCACGUCGAGCUUCCAUAGCGUAGUAGUAAAACCCUCGUUACUGGUAAUCGUCGCGGCCACGCCGUUAAACCCCAACUUCUGAAUGUUGACCUCGGAUCAGGUAGGAAUACCCGCUGAACUUAAGCAUAUCAAUAAGCGGAGGA
This 332-nucleotide unclassified non-coding RNA is filed under the name soil metagenome. RNAcentral's name for it is "partial contains 5.8S ribosomal RNA, internal transcribed spacer 2, and large subunit ribosomal RNA". The stretch from base 1 to 120 matches the Rfam family "5.8S ribosomal RNA", at positions 35 to 154 of the family's 154-position model. The record is from RNAcentral.